This is a long non-coding RNA of Girardinichthys multiradiatus, 201 nucleotides long. RefSeq lists it as uncharacterized. The transcript is spliced from 2 exons. The record is from RefSeq and is a predicted model, not a curated record. NCBI's taxonomy places the organism in Eukaryota, Metazoa, Chordata, Actinopteri, Cyprinodontiformes, Goodeidae.
UUGGAGCAUCUGAGCCAUCAAUAUAAAGUCAGCUGCAACCACAGAGCAGAUACACUGCAAAAUUUUGUAUUCCACAGUUCUUCAUCUUGUUGAGUGCAUCCUGGUCCAGCUGUGCAGUAAUCCCAGCAGUCAACAUGAUGUUUCAAAGUGUUUUCAGGUGUUCCUGGAUUUGCCUGCUACUCUUUAGUGUUGGAGCUUGUG